CAUUAUACCGUGAAACUGCGAAUGGCUCAUUAAAUCAGUUAUCGUUUAUUUGAUAGUACCUUACUACUUGGAUAACCGUGGUAAUUCUAGAGCUAAUACAUGCUAAAAACCCCAACUUCGGGAGGGGUGUAUUUAUUAGAUAAAAAACCAACGCCCUUCGGGGCUUCUUGGUGAUUCAUGAUAACUUUACGGAUCGCAUGGCCUUGCGCCGGCGACGGUUCAUUCAAAUUUCUGCCCUAUCAACUUUCGAUGGUAAGGUAUUGGCUUACCAUGGUUUCAACGGGUAACGGGGAAUUAGGGUUCGAUUCCGGAGAGGGAGCCUGAGAAACGGCUACCACAUCCAAGGAAGGCAGCAGGCGCGCAAAUUACCCAAUCCCGACACGGGGAGGUAGUGACAAUAAAUACUGAUACAGGGCUCUUUUGGGUCUUGUAAUUGGAAUGAGUACAAUUUAAACCUCUUAACGAGGAACAAUUGGAGGGCAAGUCUGGUGCCAGCAGCCGCGGUAAUUCCAGCUCCAAUAGCGUAUAUUAAAGUUGUUGCAGUUAAAAAGCUCGUAGUUGAAACUUGGGUCUGGCUGGCAGGUCCGCCUCACCGCGUGUACUUGUCCGGCCGGGCCUUCCUUCUGGAGAACCUCAUGCCCUUCACUGGGCGUGUUGGGGACCAGGACUUUUACUUUGAAAAAAUUAGAGUGUUCAAAGCAGGCCUUUGCUCGAAUACGUUAGCAUGGAAUAAUAGAAUAGGACGUGCGGUCCUAUUUUGUUGGUUUCUAGGACCGCCGUAAUGAUUAAUAGGGACAGUCGGGGGCAUCAGUAUUCAAUUGUCAGAGGUGAAAUUCUUGGAUUUAUUGAAGACUAACUACUGCGAAAGCAUUUGCCAAGGAUGUUUUCAUUAAUCAGUGAACGAAAGUUAGGGGAUCGAAGACGAUCAGAUACCGUCGUAGUCUUAACCGUAAACUAUGCCGACUAGGGAUCGGGCGAUGUUCUUUUUCUGACUCGCUCGGCACCUUACGAGAAAUCAAAGUUUUUGGGUUCUGGGGGGAAUAUGGUCGCAAGGCUGAAACUUAAAGGAAUUU
RNAcentral lists this ribosomal RNA (1073 nucleotides) under Phaeopoacea asparagicola. RNAcentral's name for it is "SSU rRNA". It matches the Rfam family "Eukaryotic small subunit ribosomal RNA", at positions 72 to 1155 of the family's 1831-position model. Lineage: Eukaryota; Fungi; Ascomycota; Dothideomycetes; Pleosporales; Phaeosphaeriaceae. The record is from RNAcentral.